Molecule: ribosomal RNA, 389 nt
Filed under: uncultured bacterium
Lineage: Bacteria
Description: bacterial SSU rRNA
Rfam family: Bacterial small subunit ribosomal RNA
Source: RNAcentral
GGGAUAACGUUCGGAAACGGACGCUAAUACCGCAUACGUCCUACGGGAGAAAGCGGGGGAUCUUCGGACCUCGCGCCAUUAGAUGAGCCUAGGUCGGAUUAGCUAGUUGGUGAGGUAAUGGCUCACCAAGGCGACGAUCCGUAACUGGUCUGAGAGGAUGAUCAGUCACACUGGAACUGAGACACGGUCCAGACUCCUACGGGAGGCAGCAGUGGGGAAUAUUGGACAAUGGGCGCAAGCCUGAUCCAGCCAUGCCGCGUGUGUGAAGAAGGCCUUCGGGUUGUAAAGCACUUUCAGCGAGGAGGAAGAGUUGUGUGUUAAUAGUACACAGCUUUGACGUUACUCGCAGAAGAAGCACCGGCUAACUACGUGCCAGCAGCGCGGUAAUA